Molecule: long non-coding RNA, 1623 nt
Organism: Drosophila obscura
Lineage: Eukaryota; Metazoa; Arthropoda; Insecta; Diptera; Drosophilidae
Exons: 3
Source: RefSeq, a predicted model, not a curated record
AGUCCGACAAGCGAGCUGCGAACAACGCUCCAUUCCCCAGCAGCCCAACCAACACCAACCAACCCCAUCAGAAGAAUUCUAACAAUAAGUAAAAACAAAAAAACAAAAAGAAACCCAAACCAAACAAUUCCUCAUUUGUUUGCUAUCAAUUGGACACGCAAAUGACAUCAACAGGGGAAUUGAAUUUGCCAAAAUUGGCCAAAUAAUAACAAUACAAAAAAAUAAUUGAGGAAUAAUUAAUUAACCAAUAAUAACAUGAGAAGUGCCUGUCAAAUAUGCAUGUACAAAAAAAAUCAAUUAAGAAUAUUUUUAAACUAAAAAUGUUUGUACCUCGACUUGUUCAAGUCCUGUUCGGAAAUCAACGUAAUUAGAAGUGCAUUUAUAUGUGUUUUUGCGGAAGAAAAUACAAAUGUAAAUUAAUUUCACAAAAAAAAAUUCCAACAAUGUUGCCUUACGUGCCGUGACCCAAAACAUGUGAGUUCUGCUUAUAUAAAACAAGAGAAACAACAAUAACAAAGAUACGAAAUACUUGCACACAAAAAAGGUAAAUGUCAGUGAAAAUGAAAUGGAAAAGCUAAAAAUUGCAUCAUCAAAGUGGAAUGGAAUGGAGGGUAAUUACUUUGCAUCUGCUGAUCAACGUGCGGGGCACUGCGUCAGCAUGGAAAUUUAAUUAGCGACAGUUCAGUGCAGCUGAGCGGAGACAGAGGCUGAUCCGAACUCAACCAAACCAAACCAGCGGCCAGGCUCAAUCACCAUUCCCGCAUGCGGGACGCGCCAACAAUUUUGUUGAUUUUUGCAUGACGACAGCAAAAAGCAAGCGACGGUAAAACAAUCGAAGUGCACCACACUGCAGCGUGCGAAAGAGAGAGAGAGAGAGAGAGAGAGAAAGAAAGAGAGAGCAAGUGGACAAACAAAUAUGGCGCAGACAUGCGCACUCUCUGAGAAACUUGAACUUGAAAACCGGCAAACCAAGAGAGUGAGAGAGCAAAACAGCGAACACAGCAAGAGCUUUCGACCGAAACCCAAAGAACACGCAACGUAGCAUAAAAAGCAGCAUAGAGGGAAAUCCCCCGAAACGACAACCAACCCCCAUGCCCACCACCGUUCAACGCAAGCAGCUACCCAACACCAGCCAAAAGAUGGCGUACCGAAAAGCUUCGCACCGAACCGCACCGCACCGCAGCGGGUGAGAGGAAAGAGUUUUUCGGUGUUUAUCAGUGUGUUCAUGUAAAUGUUUUUUAUAUACCCUACCCCCCCCUGUUCAGUUUGAAUGCUCUACCGAAUUAAUCCACCAACAAUUCCAAAUGAACGAAAUUUGAAAAUCAGUUUUACCCAAAAAUCAAAUCCAGAAAAUUCAAUUGGCUAUGCGCUUUGGCAGUGUGGUUAGCUGGUUGUGUAGCCAAAAUAUUGCCUUUGACCAUUCACAGCCACUAUCUUCACUGCCGCCGCGACAAGCCAUUACAACGUUAAGCAGCAUAAUCGCGUAUUUUUCUGGAAGCCAACGGACUCAAACAAAAACCAAAUGCUGUAUGGCGGCGAAUUCAACGAUGUAACAGUAACAUAGCAUUAGAGAUGGGAGCGGUACGAAACCCAGGGCCAGGAAUUGUUUAUGGUCUUACACAA